Triticum urartu is the source of this 126-nucleotide non-coding RNA. Lineage: Eukaryota; Viridiplantae; Streptophyta; Magnoliopsida; Poales; Poaceae. The record is from Rfam.
CUUCUACUCCCUCCAUCUGAAAAAGCUUGUCCCUCGAAUGCAUGUAUCUAGAACCAAGUUAGUGCUAGAUACAUCCAUUUGAAUAACAAGCUUGGGACAAGCUUUUCCGGACGGAGGGAGUAGCUG